GAUGAAUUAAAACUUUCAACAAUGGAUCUCUUGAUUCCGGCUUCGAUGAAGAACGCAGCGAAAUGCGAUAACUAGUGUGAAUUGCAGAAUUCAGUGAAUCAUCGAGUCUUUGAACGCACAUUGCGCCCAAGGGCACUCCUUUGGGCAUGCCUGUUCGAGCGUCAUCUAAACCCUUCAAGCCCAGCUUGGCGAUGGGCGCCUGUCCGCCGCGUGCGGACCCGCCCCAAAUAUAUUGGCAGCCGGCCGACCCGCCCCGAAGCGCAGCAGAAGCGCGCGUCGCGAGGCGGGCGCCGGCGCUCCAGCGAGCGAACACCACCCCAUUUGACCUCGAAUCAGGCAGGGAUACCCGCUGAACUUAAGCAUAUCAAUAAGGCGGA
This 377-nucleotide ribosomal RNA is filed under the name uncultured fungus. RNAcentral describes it as "eukaryotic LSU rRNA". The stretch from base 11 to 164 matches the Rfam family "5.8S ribosomal RNA". Lineage: Eukaryota; Fungi. The record is from RNAcentral.